RNAcentral lists this ribosomal RNA (505 nucleotides) under uncultured bacterium. RNAcentral's name for it is "partial 16S ribosomal RNA". It matches the Rfam family "Bacterial small subunit ribosomal RNA", at positions 28 to 507 of the family's 1533-position model. The record is from RNAcentral.
GACGAACGCUGGCGGCGUGCCUAAUACAUGCAAGUAGAACGCACAGUUUAUACCGUAGCUUGCUACACCAUAAACUGUGAGUUGCGAACGGGUGAGUAACGCGUAGGUAACCUGCCUGGUAGCGGGGGAUAACUAUUGGAAACGAUAGCUAAUACCGCAUAAUAUUAAUUAUUGCAUGAUAAUUGAUUGAAAGAUGCAAUUGCAUCACUACCAGAUGGACCUGCGUUGUAUUAGCUAGUAGGUGAGGUAACGGCUCACCUAGGCGACGAUACAUAGCCGACCUGAGAGGGUGAUCGGCCACACUGGGACUGAGACACGGCCCAGACUCCUACGGGAGGCAGCAGUAGGGAAUCUUCGGCAAUGGACGAAAGUCUGACAGAGCAACGCCGCGUGAGUGAAGAAGGUUUUCGGAUCGUAAAGCUCUGUUGUAAGAGAAGAACGGGUGUGAGAGUGGAAAGUUCACACUGUGACGGUAUCUUACCAGAAAGGGACGGCUAACUACGUG